GGAUAACCUACCCUUAGGACUGGGAUAACCCUGGGAAACUGGGGCUAAUACCGGAUAGGCAAUUAUUCCUGCAAUGGUUUUUUGUUUAAAUGUUUUUUCGCCUAAGGAUGGGUCUGCGGCCGAUUAGGUAGUUGGUCAGGUAAUGGCUUAUCAAGCCGUUGAUCGGUACGGGUUGUGAGAGCAAGAGCCCGGAGAUGGAACCUGAGACAAGGUUCCAGGCCCUACGGGGUGCAGCAGGCGCGAAACCUCCGCAAUGUGAGAAAUCGCGACGGGGGGAUCCCAAGUGCCAUUCUUAACGGGAUGGCUUUUCAUUAGUGUAAAGAGCUUUUGGAAUAAGAGCUGGGCAAGACCGGUGCCAGCCGCCGCGGUAACACCGGCAGCUCUAGUGGUAACAAUUUUUAUUGGGCCUAAAGCGUCCGUAGCCGGUUUAAUAAGUCUCUGGUGAAAUCCUGUAGCUUAACUGUGGGAAUUGCUGGAGAUACUAUUAGACUUGAGACCGGGAGAGGUUAGAGGUACUCCCAGGGUAGAGGUGAAAUUCUGUAAUCCUGGGAGGACCGCCUGUUGCGAAGGCGUCUAACUGGAACGGUUCUGACGGUGAGGGACGAAAGUUAGGGGCGCGAACCGGAUUAGAUACCCCGGUAGUCCUAACUGUAAACGAUGCGGACUUGGUGUUGGGGUGGCUUUGAGCU
RNAcentral lists this ribosomal RNA (689 nucleotides) under uncultured archaeon. RNAcentral describes it as "bacterial SSU rRNA". It matches the Rfam family "Archaeal small subunit ribosomal RNA", at positions 102 to 791 of the family's 1478-position model. The record is from RNAcentral.